AAUUUUUUCGACACAACACUCUUCAAAGUCGACUCUGCUCCUCUGCUCUUCCAAGACAUUGUGCUCUUCUUUUCUUUAAUCAAUCAAUAGUUAGAAAUCUCAAUUGAGAACCAUUUCGAACACUGAGUCAACUCAGGUCAAGAAUCUCAUAAACAGAUCCAAAGAACCAUCUUUCUCUAAAUUAAACACCAACCCACUUCACAGAAAGCUCUAAUUCAGAGAAAAAAUAUAUAUCAAAAAAAAAAAAAGAAAAAUUAAGCUUAAAGAGAGCUCCGAAUUGGGAAUUUAAGCAGAACAGAGAGAGGAACAACUAUAUAUUUUAUAUGUAUUGUAUAUAUUAUCUUUUGUCUGAUACUUUCUCUCU
Molecule: non-coding RNA, 364 nt
Organism: Camellia sinensis
Lineage: Eukaryota; Viridiplantae; Streptophyta; Magnoliopsida; Ericales; Theaceae
Source: RefSeq, a predicted model, not a curated record